RNAcentral lists this ribosomal RNA (900 nucleotides) under uncultured Sphingobacteriales bacterium. Its description in RNAcentral is "bacterial SSU rRNA". It matches the Rfam family "Bacterial small subunit ribosomal RNA", at positions 58 to 950 of the family's 1533-position model. Lineage: Bacteria; Pseudomonadati; Bacteroidota; Sphingobacteriia; Sphingobacteriales. The record is from RNAcentral.
CAAGUCGUGGGGCAGCAUGACUGUAGCAAUACAGUUGAUGGCGACCGGCAAACGGGUGCGGAACACGUACACAACCUUCCUUUUAGUGGAGAAUAGCCCAGGGAAACUUGGAUUAAUACUCCGUAACAUAUAAAAGUGGCAUCACUUUUAUAUUAUAGCAGCAAUGCGCUAGAAGAUGGGUGUGCGGCUGAUUAGAUAGUUGGCGGGGUAACGGCCCACCAAGUCGACGAUCAGUAACUGGUGUGAGAGCACGACCAGUCACACGGGCACUGAGACACGGGCCCGACUCCUACGGGAGGCAGCAGUAAGGAAUAUUGGUCAAUGGACGCAAGUCUGAACCAGCCAUGCCGCGUGGAGGAUGAAGGUCCUCUGGAUUGUAAACUUCUUUUGUUUGGGAAGAAACCCAUCUUUUCUAAGAUGGCUGACGGUACCAGAUGAAUAAGCACCGGCUAACUCCGUGCCAGCAGCCGCGGUAAUACGGAGGGUGCAAGCGUUAUCCGGAUUCACUGGGUUUAAAGGGUGCGUAGGUGGGCAAGUAAGUCAGUGGUGAAAUCUCCGGGCUUAACCCGGAAACUGCCAUUGAUACUAUUUGUCUUGAAUACUGUGGAGGUCAGCGGAAUAUGUCAUGUAGCGGUGAAAUGCUUAGAUAUGACAUAGAACACCAAUUGCGAAGGCAGCUGGCUACACAAAUAUUGACACUGAGGCACGAAAGCGUGGGGAUCAAACAGGAUUAGAUACCCUGGUAGUCCACGCCCUAAACUAUGGAUACUCGACAUUUGCGAUAAACUGCAAGUGUCUGAGCGAAAGCAUUAAGUAUCCCACCUGGGAAGUACGAUCGCAAGAUUGAAACUCAAAGGAAUUGGCGGGGGUCCGCACAAGCGGUGGAGCAUGUGGUUUAAU